RNAcentral lists this long non-coding RNA (839 nucleotides) under Canis lupus familiaris (dog). Its description in RNAcentral is "lncRNA (ENSCAFG00030015122.1)". The record is from RNAcentral. Lineage: Eukaryota; Metazoa; Chordata; Mammalia; Carnivora; Canidae.
GCCCUUUUGACUUCUGCAAUGAGAUGAGUAGUAUUUUUCAUUCAGCACCCAGUCUCUGAACAUCAACCAUGUACCAAGCAUGAAGGAUUCAGAGAUGACUAGGAUCUGGUCCUGGCCUUUGCUUCCUAAAAGGCCAAACGACUUUCCUUUGGCGGCAUUACGGUGAGGGGUAAGGACGGACACGCGUGGGAACUACAGAAGAUGAGGCCUUAACACUCCUCUGGGCAUAAAAAUCUCCGGAGGAAUGAGAGGCCAAGGAAUCUGCAUUUUAAUGUUCCAGCUGAUUGUGAUGCAAUCGUCCUCCAUCCACAGUUUCAGGAAUGCUAGAGGAGUCGAACCGCUGGAGCGCUGGUGUUGAAAGACACAACCACUUCCCACCACAUGGCCUCUAUGCUGAUGUUUCAGGGGAUCUGAUUUCCAUUUGGUAUCGUGCAAGCCCCAUCACUGCAAAGCCUGGAUCACUGGAGGUUGGCCACGUGGUCCUCGGCUUCCAAGUCCUGGAGCGACUGUCAUCUGUGCAGGCAGCUGCGGCCAGCCGAGUGGAGACCUCGCGCGCCUCGCGGAGAAGCCAGGCCCCAGCCCUUGAAUAAAGAGAUGUGAAGGAAAGACAGUGAUGCAGAGCCUGUGUCCUAGAGGCUGAGGACAGACCCAGUGGCAGGAAGGUACCCACAGGACCCCUGGCGGGAGGUGGGGGAUGACAGAGCCUGAAGGAAAGGAGAAACUGCACCUGCUGGGAGCAAUCGGGAGAGGCUUCCUGGAGGAGGCGCAUUCCGGAGGGCCUGGACUGGCAGGGGUACAAACAGGCGGGGGCGUCCAGAGCGCUCCUCGUGGAAUCUGCG